Molecule: ribosomal RNA, 207 nt
Filed under: uncultured bacterium
Lineage: Bacteria
Description: partial 16S ribosomal RNA
Rfam family: Bacterial small subunit ribosomal RNA
Source: RNAcentral
CGCGUAGGCGGCUCACUAAGUCGGAUGUGAAAACUCUGGGCUCAACGCAGAGCCUGCAUCCGAAACUGGUGGGCUAGGGUACUGGAGGGGAAAGCGGAAUUCCUGGUGUAGCGGUGAAAUGCGUAGAUAUCAGGAGGAACACCGGUGGCGAAGGCGGCUUUCUGGACAGUAACCGACGCUGAGGCGCGAAAGCUAGGGGAGCAAACA